AUGUGCAGCCGUCUGGUUCGACCCCACCUUCACAGGGUGGAAGUCGUAGGUUCGAAUCCUGCUGUGCCCACCA
Molecule: transfer RNA, 73 nt
Filed under: Tunturiibacter empetritectus
Lineage: Bacteria; Pseudomonadati; Acidobacteriota; Terriglobia; Terriglobales; Acidobacteriaceae
Description: Tunturibacter empetritectus tRNA-Val
Source: RNAcentral